Molecule: long non-coding RNA, 748 nt
Filed under: Homo sapiens (human)
Lineage: Eukaryota; Metazoa; Chordata; Mammalia; Primates; Hominidae
Description: HSALNT0327061
Source: RNAcentral
AUGGAAACGUAGAGAUGAAUAAAUAAGUCACAGGCCUUGGUCCCUUGGAGUUCACAGUCUAAUGGGGAAGACAGGAUAUAAGCAAGUAGUUUCAGCAUAGCUUUGGAAUUGCAUGCAGAGAAGUGAGUGAAGUGAGUGAGGGCCCAGCCAAGGCUGGAGUAAAGUGGCAUGAUCUCGGCUCACUGCAGCCUCCGCCCCCGCCAGGUUCAAGUGAUUCUCCUGCCUCAGCCUCCCGAGUAGCUGGGAUUACAGGCGCAGGCCACCAUGCCCAGGAAAAGGUGCAGAGUUUGAUGACCCCAGGACCUGGAAUUUACCUAGUCAGAGAGAUCAAGGAAGGCUUCCCUAAGGAAGUGGUGCAGAGCUGAGAUCGGAAGAAGCAGGGAUGUUCUCCACAGAAAGAACAUGCUCAGAAGCCCAGUCAGCAGCAGGAAGGAGUGUGGUGAUUUUGAGGAACCGAAAGAAGACCAGCAUGGCUGGAGAACAGAGGAUGGGGGUGUGAUAUGUGACGAGCGAAGAGAAGUCACCCGUACUUCAUUUACCAGUCCUUGCUAAGGAUUAUUCAUUAAAACACACAACAGCAACAAUAACCACAAAAGCAACAAUAAAAAUACCUUUGAACUCACUCAAUCUUGAACUAUUGAACAUGCUAAGUCCGUGUCAUUGGCCUACUUAAUCAGCCCUCGAUUGUAACUUGAAGAAGCUUAUUGAUAAGAAAAUAAACUUCUCAUAAAGUAUAACUACUUUCUUA